UAGGGAAUCUUCCGCAAUGGGCGAAAGCCUGACGGAGCAACGCCGCGUGAGUGAUGAAGGUCUUCGGAUCGUAAAACUCUGUUAUUAGGGAAGAACAAAUGUGUAAGUAACUAUGCACGUCUUGACGGUACCUAAUCAGAAAGCCACGGCUAACUACGUGCCAGCAGCCGCGGUAAUACGUAGGUGGCAAGCGUUAUCCGGAAUUAUUGGGCGUAAAGCGCGCGUAGGCGGUUUUUUAAGUCUGAUGUGAAAGCCCACGGCUCAACCGUGGAGGGUCAUUGGAAACUGGAAAACUUGAGUGCAGAAGAGGAAAGUGGAAUUCCAUGUGUAGCGGUGAAAUGCGCAGAGAUAUGGAGGAGCACCAGUGGCGAAGGCGACUUUCUGGUCUGUAACUGACGCUGAUGUGCGAAAGCGGGGGGAUCAAACAGG
This 429-nucleotide ribosomal RNA is filed under the name Actinomycetes bacterium. Its description in RNAcentral is "Actinobacteria bacterium partial 16S ribosomal RNA". It matches the Rfam family "Bacterial small subunit ribosomal RNA", at positions 355 to 776 of the family's 1533-position model. The record is from RNAcentral. Lineage: Bacteria; Bacillati; Actinomycetota; Actinomycetes.